Molecule: unclassified non-coding RNA, 212 nt
Filed under: fungal sp.
Lineage: Eukaryota; Fungi
Description: partial internal transcribed spacer region
Rfam family: Eukaryotic small subunit ribosomal RNA (bases 1-46)
Source: RNAcentral
AAGUCGUAACAAGGUAACCGUAGGUGAACCUGCGGUUGGAUCAUUAACAAUGGUUUUCAAACCUUUAUUCUGUGCACUGUAUUGUUCUUGGUGUUUUCCGCCUCUUUCUUUAGAGAGGAGCGGAGGCACCGACAUUUUUAAACCAUGUAUUGUAUCGAGUCUUGAAUUUGUAUUAAAAUGAAAAACUUUUGACAACGGAUCUCUUGGCUCUC